UACGAAGGGGGCUAGCGUUGCUCGGAAUCACUGGGCGUAAAGGGUGCGUAGGCGGGUCUUUAAGUCAGAGGUGAAAUCCUGGAGCUCAACUCCAGAACUGCCUUUGAUACAGCACAUCUGGAGUCCGGAAGAGGUGGGUGGAAUUCCUAGUGUAGAGGUGAAAUUCGUAGAUAUUAGGAAGAACACCAGUGGCGAAGGCGGCUCACUGGCCCGGUACUGACGCUCAUGUGCGAAAGCGUGGGGAGCAAACAGG
Molecule: ribosomal RNA, 253 nt
Filed under: uncultured bacterium
Lineage: Bacteria
Description: partial 16S ribosomal RNA
Rfam family: Bacterial small subunit ribosomal RNA
Source: RNAcentral